This 637-nucleotide ribosomal RNA is filed under the name Arthrobacter sp. Se3Pt_1510. RNAcentral's name for it is "bacterial SSU rRNA". It matches the Rfam family "Bacterial small subunit ribosomal RNA", at positions 378 to 1024 of the family's 1533-position model. Lineage: Bacteria; Bacillati; Actinomycetota; Actinomycetes; Micrococcales; Micrococcaceae. The record is from RNAcentral.
GCAGCCUGAUGCAGCGACGCCGCGUGAGGGAUGACGGCCUUCGGGUUGUAAACCUCUUUCAGUAGGGAAGAAGCGAAAGUGACGGUACCUGCAGAAGAAGCGCCGGCUAACUACGUGCCAGCAGCCGCGGUAAUACGUAGGGCGCAAGCGUUAUCCGGAAUUAUUGGGCGUAAAGAGCUCGUAGGCGGUUUGUCGCGUCUGCCGUGAAAGUCCGGGGCUCAACUCCGGAUCUGCGGUGGGUACGGGCAGACUAGAGUGAUGUAGGGGAGACUGGAAUUCCUGGUGUAGCGGUGAAAUGCGCAGAUAUCAGGAGGAACACCGAUGGCGAAGGCAGGUCUCUGGGCAUUAACUGACGCUGAGGAGCGAAAGCAUGGGGAGCGAACAGGAUUAGAUACCCUGGUAGUCCAUGCCGUAAACGUUGGGCACUAGGUGUGGGGGACAUUCCACGUUUUCCGCGCCGUAGCUAACGCAUUAAGUGCCCCGCCUGGGGAGUACGGCCGCAAGGCUAAAACUCAAAGGAAUUGACGGGGGCCCGCACAAGCGGCGGAGCAUGCGGAUUAAUUCGAUGCAACGCGAAGAACCUUACCAAGGCUUGACAUGGGCCGGACCGGGCUGGAAACAGUCCUUCCCCUUUGGG